CAUAAUUAGAAAAGUAUCACCAUUUUCCUGGGACAAAAAUAUGUAAGUUUAAACAUUUUUAGUGCCAGGUCAGUAGUCACGAUUUACCAACAGCAUUUUUUAUUUUAAAAAUACAGUUAGUGACUACACCAUUGGCUAACAAACUGAGACUUAAAGCAUUCUCUAGAUGCAAAUGCUACAAAUAAAUCAAAUUAUUAGGCAUAUUCACUAAUACUUACAAACUUAACUUCAUAUAUAAAGCAAGGUAGAUCACCAGUGUGGCCAUGCAAACAGGGUUUGAGGACUUCAAUAUUUAAAGCAAGUUAGUCCAACCCACAGCCCAAGGGCCACAUGCAGCCCAGGAUGGCUUUGAAUGAGGCCCAACACAAAUUAGCAAAUUACUAAACUUACUUAAAAUGAUGGGAUUUUAUUUUUUGCCAUUUUUUGGUUUGUGUGUUUGGUUUUUAGCUCAUCAGCUUUGUUAGUGUUAGUGUAUUUUAUGUGUGGCCCAAGACAAUACUUCCAAUGUGGCCCAGGGAAGCCAAAAGAUUGGACACUCCUGAUUUAAAGGGAAAAGGGAGGGCAGAUGAAGAAAGAGGAUAAAAAAAAGAGAGAGAAGGUAGACAAAACAGGAAAGUGGUUAGUCUUUGGAGGCUUUGAUUAGCACUUACUGAAUCUACAUUUUACAUGUGAAAGGAGUGGGUAGCGAAACAGUGAAUUAUGCAUAGUGCUCAGUGCGUCUGCAUUUUUGCAUAAGAUAAAGUAAACAUAGAGGAGGUGCUCAAAUAUGCAUUCCUCUCAGGUGAGCCAAGGGAUGCCCUCUAGGCCUGUCUUUGUCAAGGUACCGGUGAAGAUAAGCUGUUAGUUUACAUUGUCAAGGUGAAAUAGAACAGCGUUCUGUUUUAGGGUAAAGCUCUUGGGGCCCACGAGGAAUUUCCUUGUGAGCAAUUUGUGAAGGAGGCCACCGGGGGAGACAUGUGGCCUUCUGUCUUUGCAGCUAUCUACUUAGGAACAAAAUGGAAGGCAGUUUUUGCAUGAUGCAGUUACUGAGCUUCACUUUUCCCUUUGGCAUAGUGAGUUUGGGGUCCUGAGAUUUUUAUAUUCCUUUCACAGCCUCACUAUACUUGAAUUAAAAUACAAUCUACAUGUUAAAACUGACCACAUCAUUCUUUCCUGUGUGUCUUCAAAGGAUUUAAGGCCCAUCCAGAUAAUCCAAGAUGAUCUCAUUUCAAAGCCUUAAUUAUAUCUUUGAUGACUCUUUUUCCAAAUAAGGUCUCAAUUAGAGGUUCCUGGAAUAAGACACGGACUCAUCUCCCUGGGGGCCACCAUUCAGCCUGAUCCGGAAGGAAGGCCAUGAUUUCAGCUCUCUGGGAUUUGAGACAAAGAGGCCCCUUUUCUUUCAUUUUAUCUUUUCAUGUCUCUUCUUGCCAUGUACCCACAUGAUUGAGUGUGGGCUGAGGGUGAAUCCAAGAAGGGCUUUGUUUUGUGGUCAGUACAGGCUUUGGUCCACAGAGACAACAAUACUUUCAAUACUCUUUUGUUCUGCCCCAGAGGAGCUCAACACAGAAUUGCCUAGAACAAGAAACUGGUGAGAGAAGCUGCAGCCUGUUGAGACUCCACAAGACUGAAGAUAUGAAAAGAGGAAAUAUGCAUGAAUGCCCGCACGGAGAACCACCCCCACCUGCUGCUCCCGCUCUAAUGAUCACGCCCAUUAUCAACUGGGGGAUGGCUCUGUGCCUUGUCCUUGCAUUACAUGGACCAAGAACACUUCACAGGACUCAGAGAGGCAAAAAUAGAUACAAAAGAAGAAGGAAUUACAGAAGAAGUCACAUAACAUUAUUGCCUACAACUGACUGUUUACCUUGAAUACUUGAAGACCAGAAUGAAGAUUCUUGGGGUGAAGAAUUACAGCCUUAGCAUGGAGCAGGCCUCGGUGCAUCGGCUUUCAGCUAGGCAUGCCUGCCAAUGUUCAACGUCCUCCUGGGAUACGGAAGGCACCGUGAUAGACAUCUGGGCAAGUCAACAGGAAGGUGGAUAUCCAAAUCUCUCUCUUCGCAAUGAGUUUCCAGUUAGAUGGAGGAGAGAGUAAUAAAACACAGAGCUGAGAUUCCUGACUUCACAGAUCCCUGAGGAGAUGUUUACUAAAGGGAAUCUUCUGGUCACUGUUACCUUCCUCCGUACUUACCUGCCUCAUGGAGAACCCGAAAGGAAGAAGCUAUACGACUGGGGACACAUGUCUUAGAAGCACACUCAUUAGAUAAAGUGUCGCAUACUCUUUGAUAAGAACAUGGCUACCGACAACGUCCCAGGGCUGAAGAGAAACGUCAACCAAGAAGAUACCAAUAUGAACCCUUUUUAAUAGAGAGAGAUGGAGAAGGAGAAACCUCAGAGACUUGCCUUCUGACUUUAUUUUUCCCCCCAAAAGAGAUGGGCUUAUUUUCUGCAAGAAAAGAGGCUUAGAAGGCAUUUUUAAAAGGAGCCAAUAUUAAAGUUUUGUGAAAGUUUUUCUAGGGAAGGAGAGUUAUUGAUGGUAGGAUGGUGUGGCAUGUUCGGUAUAGAUGAUAGAAGUGAGGGUGUGUUAGGGCCCAGGUAAAGGCAGGACACCAUGUGUGUUUAGUGGGCUGACUUUCUCCUCGUUUGCUUUUCAUCAGCAAUGGUCAAUAACUCCUGUGUGUCAGAUGGUUACUAGAGGAGGAUGUUAGACAGCUGCUAGGUGAGCCCAGCAUCUUUACAUGAACAACCCAAGGGGACACUGCAAGUUUAUUCAACCUUAUCUGUGUUAGAGUAUCUUCAUGGCCACACGGUAGGUUGUGAGAUGGACAUAUAAAGUUUUAGUAAAAUCACUUUUCAGAUUUCCUUGUAGAUAUGUCUAACCCUUAACUUCCAAGGAAAAGCAACAUUUUAAAAAAUAAGUCAGGCCUUCUUAGUAAAUAUGUGUUGAAUUACUAAUUUUAUAAAUUGAACUCACAAAGAAAUAACAUUUGAUUUAUAAAUAUGGGUAUGUGUGGUUAUUUCAUCCUUGGAGAAACUUCAGGAGCGACCCUUUGCUCUUUAUAAAUCCACUGACUCAGGCAGAGUCAUAGGCAACAGAAAGAAGCCCACAUUCUUGCCUCACUAGUUCAUUAGUUUUUAAGCAAGAUAUUUAAAAAUUACCUCUAGCACACUAAAAAGUACUGUCUUGCCAAAACUUUAGUUUUUUUUCCUUUCUCUUUUUGUUUGUUUGCAAGGGGCAGUCUAAAUAGAAUAUCAACUUAAAGAAGGCCAGGGCAUGGUAAAUUAAUUUCUUUAUAAUCUUAUUUUCUAUUUCUCCUUUUUCUUAUUUUUUCUUUCUUCUUCUCAGUUGAAAUACUCUUUUCAAUAUUUGUUAAUUACCUAUCCUGAUAUUUUUAAACCAUCAUCUCCCUCUCUCCAAGCUUUCCUUAUUCUCAUUCCCCAAAUAAUGUAAGUCUAAGGAAGCGUCUUUCUAAAAGCUUUCCCACAGGUAGGUGAUAAAAAGCUGAGGAGAUUUUCUUCUUUCUUUUCAGUGGGUGUUGGUGUGAUCAGUGACGGGAGAAAGCAGCUUCCCGUGCAGUGCAGUUCUUGUAAAGGGAGGAGUAGAGGGGUGGUGUCUGUUUGAUGAAUAGCUUUCAUUGUUUUUUAUUUAUUUUCCCCAAAG
This 3634-nucleotide long non-coding RNA is filed under the name Homo sapiens (human). Its description in RNAcentral is "HSALNT0082506". Lineage: Eukaryota; Metazoa; Chordata; Mammalia; Primates; Hominidae. The record is from RNAcentral.